UCUAAGUUUGGCCAGAUUAAGAAUAAUCAUUGUGGGAGGAGAGCAUGUGAAAAGUCCCCUUCCUUCACGUAACCGCAAGGGUCCAGCAAUGUGGUGGGCACAGGUGAGGGGUGAGUUAUUUACCUGAGGGAUACAUCCCCCUAGCACUGCCUAUGUAGGGCAUUGCAUCCUCCUCAUAAAUGUUUCAUUUGAUUUAAGCUAUCUCCCUCUGAAACAUGAAUACAGAACAUCCUGAAUGUUUGUGAUCUUGUGUGGAAACUGCUAUUACUGACAGAAUGCAGGAAUGCCUUUGCAGAGGCACGUGAUUUUGGCAACAUUCUUGUCCACGUCAGCCUAAGUCACAACGUCCCCCAAAAAUUUCAUUUAUGCAAUCUGCUUCUACCUCCCAGCCCUCUCUUGGCAAGCUUUGGGGCUCCAUUUGGCUUAAAAGCUGGCUUUGCCUGGCUUUGUCACCACAAUUCAUCCUGAGCCAUGAAGAUCCUUCACCUGUGCUUGGCAGUUCUCUCUUUGCUGCUCCUGGCUUCCCCAGGAUCUGCACAGGACCAGGAACCUCAGAAUGCUAGGCAAUGCUAUAAGGCCAAUGGUGUUUGCCUCCCUCUAUAUUGUCCCAAUAAUUCUAAAAAGAUUGGAAGGUGUACUCAUCGUCAUUUCUGUUGCAAAUGACGGGAGGAGUGAUAGAUGCCUUUGAAAAGUGGAAGAUGCUCCCUCUCUUUGAGAGCCACUGGAUCCCGCUUGAUCCCUAGCUAGGGACUUCUUCUCCAAAGCAUCCAGAUUGAAAAAGCAACAUUUUCAAGGCUUACCUGAGCUUGUGCCUUGCAAUAAAAGCAGAUCCAAAAGCCUUUCCCCCUCUG
Podarcis muralis (Common wall lizard) is the source of this 851-nucleotide non-coding RNA. Lineage: Eukaryota; Metazoa; Chordata; Lepidosauria; Squamata; Lacertidae. The record is from RefSeq and is a predicted model, not a curated record.